Mytilus trossulus (common blue mussel) is the source of this 934-nucleotide long non-coding RNA. RefSeq lists it as uncharacterized. The record is from RefSeq and is a predicted model, not a curated record. The transcript has 3 exons. NCBI's taxonomy places the organism in Eukaryota, Metazoa, Mollusca, Bivalvia, Mytilida, Mytilidae.
AGGGGCCUGGUACAGAGUGGUGAUAAAUAAGAGAGUAGGUCCUGGAUUGGUUUCUGUUUAUAUUGUUGAUUUUGGAGAAUAUAAUGCUAUGACUGUAGAAGAAAUAAAACCAUUACCAUGGAGAUUUUGGAAGUUACCAUUUCAAGCCUUUAAAUGUAAAUUACAUGGAAUAAAACCAGUGAAAGGAACUCAGGUUUGGUAAGAAGGUGCCAAGCUGAAAAUGAAACAGAUGGCCGAGGAAAAAGAUUUAGUUGGACUAGUUUGUGGUAAAGAAGAUAAUGGAGUUGUCUCCCUUAGACUUGUCGAUACCACCAGUGAAAAAGAUGUGUGUUUAGACGAAAUUCUGUUGGAUCUAGCAAUGGCCCAAAUAAUUGAACCAACUUCAUGAUAUGCCACGUGAUUGGAGUUAUUGAGUAGAAUAUUUGAAACGUUUAUUUUAAUGACCUUUUUUAAUGAGAUAAUGAAGUAAAUCAACACAAUAUUCUGCGUUAAUGCUGAUUUUGUUAGAGGGUUACACAUAAAAAUAUAAAUCCUUUUUAAGAAUCCUGACUGAGAUUAUGUAGUUUAAUAUUAGAACAUUUUUUUUCCAAUGCCAUUUUUUUGUAUGUUACAAAUUGACCUUAUGCAAAUAAAUAUUAAACUUCUGUUAACCUAUUUCUGGUUAAAACACUGUAUAGAAAGUCUGUAAGUCUUUGAAAUGUUAUAAGAACCCUUCAAAACAUUCUACCAUUCAUAUUCCAAAAUCAACCAAAAACCCUACAAAACAGUCUAAAAUUCAUCUUUAUUCUGUUUUUGAAAGUUCCAUAAUCAACCAAAAUCUUAAGUAAGUACAUGUAUAAAUAUUCUUGCAGAAAGUCGAUUACGAUCCAACACAGGUCAUUUGUCAAUGUUAGUAUAUCUAUGUAUUGCAUAAUUUGAGUGAUUUCAUAUGUGC